AUACGGAGGGUGCAAGCGUUAUUCGGAAUCACUGGGCGUAAAGGACGCGUAGGCGGGUUGGCAAGUCAGAUGUGAAAUCCUACAGCUUAACUGUAGAACUGCAUUUGAAACUGCUAACCUAGAGUAUGAGAGGGGGAGAUGGAAUUAGUGGUGUAGGGGUAAAAUCCGUAGAUAUCACUAGGAAUACCGAAAGCGAAGGCGAUCUCCUGGAACAUAACUGACGCUAAGGCGUGAAAGCGUGGGGAGCAAACAGGAUUAGAAACCCCAGUAGUCC
RNAcentral lists this ribosomal RNA (274 nucleotides) under uncultured bacterium. RNAcentral describes it as "partial 16S ribosomal RNA". It matches the Rfam family "Bacterial small subunit ribosomal RNA", at positions 523 to 796 of the family's 1533-position model. The record is from RNAcentral.